Molecule: long non-coding RNA, 7347 nt
Organism: Motacilla alba alba
Lineage: Eukaryota; Metazoa; Chordata; Aves; Passeriformes; Motacillidae
Exons: 8
Source: RefSeq, a predicted model, not a curated record
GUCUGUCCUGGCUGCUGGGUUCAAGCCUCUUUUGUGGAAGGACAAAAGAGAAGCUCGGGUUGUUGCUCAGGUAAAACCAGCACCUGAUGAGAAAGAUUUAGGAUGUGUUGGGAAGUUUCUUGGAUAAAUCACAGUUAAUCCCUUCCUUGUGGCUCCCUUACACCCAGCAGAUUCUCCAACUCCAGCUGGGAGUGACAGAACCCGAUGCUGUUACAUCCAUGGCCUGUCCUGUGCCAUUAUCCUGAGCAGCUGAUAAUAUGAACACGAAAUUAGGAAUCACCUGAGCAUUGUGUUUAAUAAAGCAGCUGGGAGGCUGCCAGCAGUCACAAAGAGAUCCUGAGCUCUUUACACCCACGUGUUCAUCACCACUUUUUCGGAUUUCAAUGGGUAUUGGUUUAGAUACCUGGAACUUGUUUUGGUGAGUGAUCUCCUGUGAAAUCAGGAUUCCUUCAGAACUGGGGGACUGAUGGGAUGUCAGGUGCACUCUGGCUGUUUUGGCUGGAUGCAGGAAGGGCAGUGCUGAGGCCAUCCCUUAGGAGCAGAGCAGGGUGGCUGGAAUUUCGUGUCCCCAAGCCCUGUGACCAAGCCAGAGCUGGCAGCAGCUCGGUGGAGGAGAAUGGCUGGACGACUUCUCACCAGGGCUGUGCCUGGAGAGGCCGCAGAUGGAUUCCCUGUGGUGUUGCUGGUUGGAUUCAAUCAGAAUUUGGGACAGGGAGAGCUAUGUUAGUGAGGCUGGGAGAGCUGGGGCAGCAGCAGGAGGCUGAGGAGCCUGGGGAAGCACAGGGAGUGGAAUGGAGUGUGUGCCAUGAAGUGUGCAGCCCAUGGAUAAUCCUCCUUACAGUGCAGAGCUGGAAUCCAGCCCUGCAGUGCCACGAGUGGCUGCUGGGCAAAACCUGGACAAUGUUUGUUUAAACACCCUUGAAUAACAGGGACUUUUAAAAAGCAGGAUUUUGUUCACUUGACAAGAUUAAAUUAAACACAGCGUUCCCAUCUCUGCCCCCAACCCUGAAUGCCAAAGGGCAGGAAGAGGAUCAGAAAUCUCCAAUUCCUUCUGGGGGAGGUGCCAGCAAUGAUACAUGAGCAAACAGAUAUUUAAAUAUGAUAUUAAAACUCCCAGUUUCAGAACUUCCUCAUCACCAGUGAUGCUCCAAACGUGCUGUUUCAUAGUGGAGCAGGGCCACACCAUUAUCCUGCCUUUUCUUCCCAGAAAAUUGCACUGUGCAGCACUAUAAACCUGAAUAAUGCAAGUCCUGUUGGAAAGACAUCUUGUUUUUCCUUCUAGGUUGCUUAAUUAAUUUCUUUGGACUUCUUUUAUACAGUUUGAUGAAUGUUAUUUCAAACUACUGUCAAAGGGAAUGUGAGGAGGGAAAAAUGAGCCACCUACACACUGCUUCUAAUACAACUGUAUCACCCUUUGAAAACCAGGGAAUUAAUAAAAAAUAGGUGUUAGCCCAUAUGCUCGACAGGGAGCAUUUGGAAUUGUCAGGCAUGUUUCUACCCUAAUUAUCCUUGUCGGGCCAUUUUGUAAACUGAAAAAUUCCCCAAGUUAAAUAAAAACUCAGAGACAGGCCGGGAUAUUGAAAGCUCCACUUUCAAACCAGCAAACCAGAAAUUGUUCUUGUUUGGGCUGUUACCUCCCACCCAGAGACCUCUCACAGCAUAUUGCCAUGGGAAGCGAAAUGAGCACACCUGGUGCUGUUACGAAUUGGGUUUGUUUGAAGGUUAUUGGGCAUCUCUGAGGGAAAUCUAACAAAACUGGACAAUCUGCAAUGUUUCAGCGUGGGAGAAAGCCUCCAGGUGGAAUUACAGGGAGAGGCUCUUGUGUUCCUUCUUUGUGGUGAUUAAACUGAAGGGGUAAAUAUGGGAUAUUGCUGCUGCUUUGGGUUCUGCUGGGGUUUGGGGUGUCUCAGCACAGCCACUGACACAGCAACAGCACCUCUGCAGUGCUUAUGGAAGGGAAAAAGGGAUGGCUGUGGGUUUUUAGGACAAGGAUGCAGCUCCCCCAGGCAGAGGGGGCACUGGGGUGCCUGGGGGAGGUGGUGAUGACUGAGCACACCCCAAGAGCAGGUCAGCCUGCACAGAGAGGUGAAGGUUGGGUUAUUAAAAAUGAAUUAGGCAGAUUCCUGAGUUAGGGGCCCCAAGCCAGGGCUUUCAGGCAGGCCAGCACACACAGGCUCAGCUGCUGCCAGCACACAGUUAAUAACACACUUGACUUAGGGUAGCUGCUGCUCCCAGCCUGGCUCGAGGGGGCAUUAUCCCCCUCACAAUUCUGAGGGAAUAAUUCAUGGGCAAAGUUUGUCUUUUUCUCAUGUUUGUAUUUCCCAUUUCAAAAAUCUGUGCUGAAAAAUUUAUCAAAAUGAGCCUUUUUCUUUAGUUCUUUCCUGAGACCAUAGGAAAAGCUGCUGCUGCCUAAUUGGAGGUUCCCAGAAUCAUCUCCCUCCUGUGAAUACACACAAUGUUCAUGUUGUGCAUAUUUGCUGUAGAUUGAGUGGGCUCCUUCUUUAAAACUUGCUGUGCUGAUGAACGCUUCUCCCAGGAGAGUUCCCCUUUCAAUAUUUGUGGAAAACGCACAAAGGACAAGGACACAGUUGAAGUCUCUUAAUUUGCAAAUGUAUCUGAAUAUUCAUGAUGCCUAUUUUCAUAUUCACCCAUUUUUUCUCCUCUUGUUAAGGCAGCAUGUCUGUUUUAAGGAAGAACACAUCUGUCACAGUUUGUUUUGUCAUCAGAAAUAUUAAUGCUGGGGGAAAACCAGUGCAAAAUUGAUCACAGAGCGAUCGAAUGGGUCGGGUUGGAAGGGACCUUUGAGAUCAUCUCAUUCCACCCUGAAUCAGCCAGCAGAAAUCCUGCUGUCUGCCUUAAUAAACUCCUGACUCGUGGAGGCUGAUUCCUGCUCCGAGUGGAGGACAGGAAUAGGGAAUAUCGUGGUCAAACACAGAGGUUGGGAGGGUCAGGGUGACCCCAGUGCUGCCUGGGGAGCUGGGGCUGCACGGGCUGUGCUUGGAGAGCUCCUCCUUUAGUGACUCGCUUCUCAUCCCUCUCUGCGCUCAGCAAAAUUAAAUCACCAAGUGUUUCAAGGAAGGACAGCAUGAAAAGCACUUUGGAUCCCCUCAGAAAGAAAUUAAUUUUCCAUUUGAACCCAGAGCUGCUGAAGCCAUCGCCCGUGUUCCCUGCACGGCCCGCGGCAUCCAGCGCUCCUCGCCUUUCAUCUGCUGCCUGUCGACAGCUCCUCAAAUUGUCUGAGGGGGAAAUUUCCUCCCACAUCUUAUUUGAACCAGUUUUUUUCCCUGAGAAAUGUUGCCAACAAAGAUUACUUCUCUUCAGGGCUGGCAAACACUAUUUCUUACCUGGUGGCUUAUUGGGAAUACAAUUGGAAAAAGCAUGAUAAGGUUUUACAAACAGCAGGAUGAAUAAAGGCAGGAGGGAGAUUUUUUAUCUCCCCCCCAUUAGCUGCAGACAGGGGCAGUUCCUACUCUGAUUAUCUCCAGUGUGCAGUUUUUCUCAGUGAACCUGCUGAUUUAGCUGGAAAGCGUUGAGUGUCACGGGCUGGUGGCUCCACAAGGUCACGGUGGUGGCAUGUGGAAGGUCCCCACUGUCCCCUGUGCCUGGCACUGUUCCCUGUGGUGAGGCACUGCAGGGAGCCCCACAUCUCAGGCUUUGCUGUUUUCCAUGGUCUUUGUGUUCUUUCCUCCUUGAAGGCACAGCUGUUUUCCCCCCAGCAUGUCCCCAGCUCUCCUCUGAGCAUUUAUGGACUGGGUGAUCAGAGGGAUUCCCUGGGGAUGCUUUGGUGCAGCAGCUCUGGGACCUGCUCUGGCAGGUGCAGGAGGGGCAUUUUGCAUCCCUGAGAUCCUUCCAGAUCCUCUCCAGAACAAGAGGGCUCUUUAGACUUUCAGCCUGUGUUUAUUCCCGCUCUCUAUUUCAAUUACCUAAAUGUUUGUAUAAUUCAAAAAUUGAUUUCAGCUCAGCAAAGCUCCCGACCACACUCUGAGUUUUGUUUGCUGCAGAGCCCAUAACUAACAAAGCAACAACUUCUUUAUUGCAGGAUAAAAGCCCAUCUAAGAGAGAAGCUGUCAAGAGGAAUGUGGCACUCUGCAUCAUUUCCUGGGCAUUAAAACUUCCAUUUAUUUUCAAAUAUUUUGCAGACCAGCCGGCACCUGGUGUAUCGACCGUGCCAUUAAAUCACCCAGAACUCGUGUCUGAGAGAGUUUUGGGAUCACUGUGCCACCCAAACCCCAGCUGGCACUGCAAGGCAAAAGAAGAAGCAUUCCCUACUAAUAUUUUUCCUCCAGGCCAUGGCUCUCUUGCCCAUGCACUGUUUGUGUGGCGCUUGCUCUGCUGAGCCAAGGCCUGAGCUGCUCUGCCUGGCACUGAAACACGUCCUUAAGGCUCCCUGAAAUAUAGAAGAAGACAGGGAUUACAAGUCCUUCCUGAGCAGCCAGAACAGAACCCAUUAAGGUAUUGCAAGCCAUGCAAUUCAAUGGCCCUGAAAGUAUAAUUUGAUUGUAAUUCAGGAGGUUACUAAAAGGAAAUCCAUACCAGGCUGAGAGAUAAGCGAAAGCGAGGAGUGUAUUUACUGUGAGUGCUGAAAUGUGAGGUGUACGAGUCCCUUAUCUCCUUUGUCUGCACUUUAUCACCACUGAAGGCAAGUAAAAGGGGAAUAAUAUCUGCUUCACAAGAGAAGAUUGGAUUAAGUUUUCCCAGUGGUCUUGUGGGAGUUAUUUCCAUUUUGCUCCUGCCUGGAUUAGCCUAACUCCUUCAGGCUUUUCCACAUCUCUACAGGAGAAGGUCCUGGCUCAGGGAGGGGAGGGGAGCAUGGUUGGUGUGUUGGUUCUUCCUGGAGGAAUUUGCCUUUGACCUCUGUAAAGGAAUUAGGAGACCUACAACCUCCUCCCUGACUCUUUUACUGUGGAGGUUUCUUUUUCAGAUCCUUUUUUGUUAUGCAACCUUUUUGUCUGGCAGCGUUAUCUCUUGCAGGUGUUUGUUAGAACCAUUACUUGUGAGAAGAGACCUGGGUGUGCUCAUUUCUUGCUGCAGUUUCCCUCACUGCCCUUGUCUCCAGCUCCAGUCCCUCUCUGCAGAGACCUGCCUGACUCACUGCACAAUACCUUGGAAACAGCCCCAGAUGGUCAGGAAUGGGAUCCCCCACGUUCUCCUCCCAGUCUGAGAAGACAAGAAAAUAAACAAGGAAAAUGUCUGUGCUGAUGGCAUCUGUUGGCUCCCUCAUAAGAUCCCAGUCAUCCCUUUAGUUCCUGGCAGGAAGCUGGAACUGGAUGAUCUUUCAGGACCCUCCAACCCAAACCAUUCUGGGAUUUUGUGGCAAAUGAGACUUGGCAGCAAUUCCAGAUCAAACACUGCCGUGGGUUUGGGGUGCUGUCCAGGGAGUGUAACACCUCAGACCUCUGAGCUCUUGCUGUGAUAAAAAGCUGCAGACAAAACUCCCCAACCAAUGUCUUCAUAAUACUUAACAUUCAACGGAGCAAAAGGAGAAUAAUGAGCACUGCAGCCAUCCCAGGAGCCCAGUGCACUCGGAGGCAGAGAUAAAAAGUGCGGAUCAGAUGAAAGGAUGGCAGUGAUCACUCAGGUAUCUGUACACUCAUUUUCCUGGAUUUCUGACUCAGAAGGCCUCUCUGCACUGCAGUACCUGUUCCCAAGAGCUGGGAAUGCUGGGGGAGCCUGGAGAUCCCCAGGAGGUGUUCCUGAGUGCACCCACCUGGAUGCCCUGUGCAGGUGAGUGGUGACAGGUGAGGAACCAGGGACACAAGAAAGCCAAAUAUUCAUUAGGAUUACACCCUCUCCACAGCCUCUUCAGCUGAAGGAAGUUUAUCUUCCUUCCCAUCUCCCUCUAAAACUCUAAAUGAGAAACAAAUAAAAAUUUUAUCCCCUUCCAUAACCCCGUGUGUCAGGCAGCAUCCUUUAUCUGCCACUGGCUGGAAAUCUCACAUUUUCAUUGCCUGAAUCACCAGAUGCAUUCAUCAACCCUGACAAAUGCCUCCAAACCACUAAAUCACACCACUCCAUCUCAAUGGGCUACAUAAUCAUUGUCAGGCUCCCCAUAAAUCUGGGAAUAUCUCUGUUCCACACUCCAAUAUCUCCAGCUUCUACCAGGGCUGAGAAACUGCCACGGGAAAACUGGAUGCUGAGUUAAGUUUAAGAGUUUUUCAGUCCCUUAAAAAUUUGAUAAACUCAUUAAUUUCUGUCAGGCCAGUUUAUUUUUAGAAUAAAUAAAAAGGGGAAAUAAAGUAUUUUUUUUCUACCCACAGGAAUAACUCAUGGACUAAGAGAUUUUUUUUCCCCAGAAUAAGACAACCCCGUCUGCUGUUAGAAAAAUGCCCAAAGCUGGGACCUGUUCUGGCAAGUGACAGGUGAAAACUCAGCUCUGUGCAGGACCUGUGAGUGCCACCCAAACCCAUGAGGGAGGAGGAAGAAGAAGCAUGAAGAAGAAACCCAGGAUGACACCCUGUGCCCUCCAUCUUGCUCCCAUCCACGCUAAAAAUCCCAAACCCUCAAUUUUCUCACCAAGUGAUACAUCUGCACUACUCUAUUUAUUUCACAUUUUUGUGGGUUCCAGUCUAUCUUGAAGUCUAGGAAACUUUCUCCAUGAAUGAGGGUGAAAGUGAGGGCACCCCGGAGCAGACAGGGAAAUAUUCCUGGUGCCCUGGGCUCCCACAGGUCUGGCAGGCUGUGCCCUCCUCCCUGGCUGCUGGCAGGAGCUCGGGAGCAGCAGACAUGGGCUGCAGGGCUGCUCCAGAGCUGCUGGAACACAAACCCCUCUCUGCUGCUUCAUCAGCGCUUUCCACAUCAAGAGCAUUUUGGAAGGAGCAGAAAAAUGCUUUGUGCAAUUAAAAAUCCUCAAAAGGACUUGGGCUGGUAGGAUGUAAAUAACGAAAUGCCCAAAUCAGCUCUCUCUCCUUGGAAGAGAUCCAGAACACAGAUGCUGGUGGGUGUUUUGUGUUGUGAGUGGCUCUGUCCUGUCCUUCCUCUGCUGCCUGGCCCUCCUGCUCUGCCUUGACACCGCUUGAUUUAUCCAAAUAAUGGCCUUCUGAAGAAAAAUGCUCUUUGCUCAGGGCUGAGGAACGGCUGAAUCAGGGAAAGCAGCACUUGGAAGUUUUCCUGGGAGGUUGCUGUGUCCAGUGCUGGUCAGGCUUGGUCCAGCUCAGCCCCUGGGAGCUGCUGAUGCUGCACGCGCUCCAGGGAGGGCCCAGCUGCAGCUCUCCCUGUUAAAAACCCCCAAACAGCCUCCCUCCCUGCAGGGUGGAACAGGAACUUGCAUUUUUCCUGAUUUCCACACCAGGAUGCACAGCAGCUUUUCCGUGUGGGCAGCCAUCCAACCCAGGUGUGAUCCAAGUGAAA